This 73-nucleotide transfer RNA is filed under the name Candidatus Neoehrlichia procyonis str. RAC413. RNAcentral's name for it is "Candidatus Neoehrlichia lotoris str. RAC413 tRNA". It matches the Rfam family "tRNA". Rfam says of the family: Transfer RNA (tRNA) molecules are approximately 80 nucleotides in length. The record is from Rfam by way of RNAcentral. Lineage: Bacteria; Pseudomonadati; Pseudomonadota; Alphaproteobacteria; Rickettsiales; Anaplasmataceae.
GGGAGUGUAGCUUAACUGGUAGAGCAUCAGUCUCCAAAACUGAGGGUUAUAGGUUCAAUUCCUAUCGCUCCUG